GACGAACGCUGGCGGCGUGCUUAACACAUGCAAGUCGAACGGAAAGGCCCUGCUUUUGUGGGGUGCUCGAGUGGCGAACGGGUGAGUAACACGUGAGUAACCUGCCCUUGACUUUGGGAUAACUUCAGGAAACUGGGGCUAAUACCGGAUAGGAGCUCCUGCUGCAUGGUGGGGGUUGGAAAGUUUCGGCGGUUGGGGAUGGACUCGCGGCUUAUCAGCUUGUUGGUGGGGUAGUGGCUUACCAAGGCUUUGACGGGUAGCCGGCCUGAGAGGGUGACCGGCCAAAGUGGGAUAGGGAAACGGCCAAGACCCAAAGGGGGGGAAGGGGGGGGGAAAUUGGGAAAAGGGGCGGAAGCCGGAGGGAGCAACGCCGGGGGGGGGAAGACGGCCUUGGGGUGGGAAACCGGUUUGCCGUGGGACGAAGCGGGAGGAAGGGUAAUGGGAAAAGAAGCACCGGUAAACAAGGG
This 467-nucleotide ribosomal RNA is filed under the name uncultured bacterium. RNAcentral describes it as "partial 16S ribosomal RNA". It matches the Rfam family "Bacterial small subunit ribosomal RNA", at positions 28 to 506 of the family's 1533-position model. The record is from RNAcentral.